AUUGAACGCUGGCGGCAUGCUUUACACAUGCAAGUCGAACGGUAGGGUAGCAAUACCUGAGAGUGGCGAACGGGUGAGUAAUGUAUCGGAACGUGCCCAAGAGUGGGGGAUAGCCCGGCGAAAGCCGGAUUAAUACCGCAUACGAUCUAUGGAUGAAAACGGGGGACCGCAAGGCCUCGUGCUCCUGGAGCGGCCGAUAUCAGAUUAGGUAGUUGGUGGGGUAAAGGCUCACCAAGACAACGAUCUGUAGCUGGUUUGAGAGAACGACCAGCCACACUGGGACUGAGACACGGCCCAGACUCCUACGGGAGGCAGCAGUGGGGAAUUUUGGACAAUGGGCGCAAGCCUGAUCCAGCAAUGCCGCGUGCAGGAUGAAGGCCUUCGGGUUGUAAACUGCUUUUGUACGGAGCGAAAAGGCUUCUUCUAAUACAGGAGGCUCAUGACGGUACCGUAAGAAUAAGCACCGGCUAACUACGUGCCAGCAGCCGCCGUAA
Molecule: ribosomal RNA, 494 nt
Filed under: uncultured bacterium
Lineage: Bacteria
Description: partial 16S ribosomal RNA
Rfam family: Bacterial small subunit ribosomal RNA
Source: RNAcentral